AGAGUUUGAUCAUGGCUCAGAGUGAACGCUGGCGGCGUGCCUAAUACAUGCAAGUCGAACGCGAAAGUCCUUCGGGAUGAGUAAAGUGGCGCACGGGUGAGUAAUACAUGAGAACAUGCCCUUAGAUGGGGAAUAACGUUUGGAAACGAACGCUAAUACCGCAUAAUCUCGCGAGAGUAAAGGUGGCGCCGCAAGGGCUACCGUCUAAGGAUUGGCUCAUGUCCCAUUGGCUAGUUGGCGGGGUAAUGGCCCACCAAGGCAACGAUGGCUAGCUGGUCUGAGAGGAUGACCAGCCACACUGGGACUGAGACACGGCCCAGACUCCUACGGGAGGCAGCAGUGGGAAUAUUGCGCAAUGGGCGAAAGCCUGACGCAGCGACGCCGCGUGGGUGAUGAAGGCCUUCGGGUCGUAAAGCCCUGUCGCAGGGGAAGAAUAAGCAUCGGUAUAAUACGCCGGUGCCCUGACGGUACCCUGCAAGAAAGCACCGGCUAACUCCGUG
RNAcentral lists this ribosomal RNA (500 nucleotides) under uncultured bacterium. RNAcentral's name for it is "bacterial SSU rRNA". It matches the Rfam family "Bacterial small subunit ribosomal RNA", at positions 8 to 507 of the family's 1533-position model. The record is from RNAcentral.